RNAcentral lists this transfer RNA (66 nucleotides) under Cletus rubidiventris. RNAcentral's name for it is "tRNA-Phe". The record is from RNAcentral. Lineage: Eukaryota; Metazoa; Arthropoda; Insecta; Hemiptera; Coreidae.
ACUUGGGUAGCUUAAAUUUAAAGCUUAAUAUUGAAGCUAUUAAGAUAAGAUUACUCUUCUCAGGUA